This 389-nucleotide ribosomal RNA is filed under the name uncultured bacterium. RNAcentral's name for it is "bacterial SSU rRNA". It matches the Rfam family "Bacterial small subunit ribosomal RNA", at positions 29 to 409 of the family's 1533-position model. The record is from RNAcentral.
AAUGAACGCUGGCGGCGCGCCUAAUACAUGCAAGUCGAGCGAGAAGACGUAGCAAUACGUUUGUAAAGCGGCGAACGGGUGAGGAAUACAUGGGUAACCUACCCUCGAGUGGGGAAUAACUAGCCGAAAGGUUAGCUAAUACCGCGUACGCUUCUUGGACUUCGGUUCAGGGAGGAAAGCGAUGCCGAGGGUAUCGCGCUCUUGGAUGGGCUCAUGUCCUAUCAGCUUGNGGUGAGGUAACGGCUCACCAAGGCUUCGACGGGUAGCUGGUCUGAGAGGACGAUCAGCCACACUGGCACUGCGACACGGGCCAGACUCCUACGGGAGGCAGCAGUAAGGAAUAUUGCGCAAUGGGCGAAAGCCUGACGCAGCGACGCCGCGUGGGGGAU